Molecule: ribosomal RNA, 403 nt
Filed under: uncultured bacterium
Lineage: Bacteria
Description: partial 16S ribosomal RNA
Rfam family: Bacterial small subunit ribosomal RNA
Source: RNAcentral
GACGAACGCUGGCGGCGUGCCUAAUACAUGCAAGUCGAACGCAGUGGGGCCGGGUGAGUAACACGUGGGUAACCUGCCAUCAGAGGAGAUAACACUUGGCAAAAGGUGCUAAACCGAUACUGAUGGAUGGACCCGGGGUGCAUUAGGUAGUUGGGGAGGUAAAGGCUCACCUAGGCCACGAUGCAUAGCCGACCUGAGAGUGUGAUCGGCCACACUGGGACUGAGACACGGUCCAGACUCAUACGGGAGGCAGCAGUAGGGAAGCUUCGGCAAUGGACGAAAGUCUGAUCGAGCAACGCCGCGUGAGUGAAGAAGGGUUUCGGAUCGUAAAACUCUGUUGUUAGAGAAGCGGUAUCUAACCAGAAAGCCACGGCUAACUACGUGCCAGCAGCCGCGGUAAUAC